This 493-nucleotide ribosomal RNA is filed under the name uncultured bacterium. Its description in RNAcentral is "partial 16S ribosomal RNA". It matches the Rfam family "Bacterial small subunit ribosomal RNA", at positions 28 to 507 of the family's 1533-position model. The record is from RNAcentral.
GACGAACGCUGGCGGCGCGCUUAACGCAUGCAAGUCGAACGGAAAGGCCUGCUUUCCCUUGUGGGUUGCGGGUACUCGAGUGGCGAACGGGUGAGUAACACGUGAGUGAUCUGCCCCCAACUUUGGUAUAAGCCUGGGAAACUGGUCGAAUUUCCGAUCGGACGUCAGGGUGGUGCCUGUGGUGGUAAACGAUUUUUUAGUGGGUGGGGAUGAGCUCGCGGCCUAUUAGCUUGUUGGUGGGGUAAUGGCCUACCAAGGCGGCGGCGGGUAGCCGGCCCGGGGGGGCGGACGGCAAAAUGGGGACUGAGAUACGGCCAAGAAUACUACGGGAGGCAGCAGUGGGGAAUAUUGCAAAAGGGGCGGAAGACUGAUGCAGCGACGCCGCGUGGGGGAUGACGGCCUGCGGGUUGUAAACUCCUUUCGACCGCGAGGAAGCCACCUGGUUGGAAGGGUGGUGACGGUAGUGGUAGAAGAAGCACCGGCUAACUACGUG